CCGGGCGGUGCUGCGGCCGCCCCCGCUCCCAGCAGCCCUUGCAGCCGCCUACAAUGAAAUUUGCGAAGUUUUUUCGGUUUCGGCGCCAUUUUCGAGUGGACUCGGAGGAAAUUUGAAUAUCCUGGCAAAGUCCGGCUUCCCCCGGCAGCCUUGCAGCACUCCGGGAGCUGCAGUGAUGGAGCAACGUGUGCAGCACUGGGGCUUUUCCCUCUCGAAUUGAUCCUAAAUACAGUAUUUUUCCCAACUAUGCAUCAGUGUUGAGAAAAAACUGUGGAUCCUGGAAUUUUGCUGUGGAUUUUACUGGUUUUCUGAAGUACUGUAAGUUGAAGUCUUGUCCCGCAGGCCCUCACGAGCACCAGUAGCUCCUCGCCAGAACAACACCCUCGCCCUGGUGAAUACAGCUGAUCCUGCUGGUAACAGUAUCGGGGUCGAGUUUCACAUGGGGUGAAGUUAACGAAUUAAUUUUUUGCGUUGUUUGAAUUCGCCCUUUGUAGCUGCAGUUUGGUUUUGGGUGUUCGGCCCCACCUAAGAGCGUGUGUGGUUUAGUGCGGGAGGUGCGCCGUGCUGGGUUUUACACGAACCACUUGCUGCUUCUCCGGCCUUUUUUUUUAUGGUUAAAUCAGUGAGGAGAAAAAUUUAUUUUUUUUUUAAUCGAGCGCGUGAGAAAUUAUUCGCUCCCACACAGCUUCGACCGUGGCGGACGGGGAGGAAAAAAAAAAAACCCACCAUAUUUUCUGCAUUUAUUUUGUGGCGCCGGGAGUGAGUCUUAGCCGGGUGGGACACGUGCGAGGGCGAUUUCGGUGCGAUGUGAGCGCCGGGGAGAUGCGCUGGAGGUGCCGCACAAAUGAAAGUAACUUGGCUGUGUGCGGUUCCCACGUCUGGCUGCUCGUGCUCCUUCACAGCCGCUUCUCUUCCCGCAGCCCUCGCUCGCCUUCAGCUGCCUGUCGGGGCUGGUCCUGUCGGGAAUGGAGUAGCUGGAAGCAUGUGGUGGUUGUCGAUCAAGCAUCGGGUCUGAUCCCUGCUGCUGGCCACAUCUGUAAAUAUUAGGAUGUGACUUCUGCUUAAAUUUCGCCGUUCAAAGGGAGGCAGGAACGAAGGUGGUGGGGUUUUUUUCAGAGCCAGGCAGAUAUGAAGUGUUUUGGUGGUGUUACUCACGCCCUUAUUUUCAUUUUGUCACCGUAGUUUCGUCUCGCUAAUGAGUGUCUGGGACCUUCAGCUGUAAUGAGAUGAUUUAUUUUAGUCUUUUCUGUAAAAUAGUAAAUGCCUUUUUUUUUUUUAUAAUUGUUUCAAAUGAGAACAAUGACUUCAGGAUUUGUUUGUGCAUGUCUCCUGGAAAACUGUUCGAUAGCAGAGUUGGGGGUUUUGUUCCUGUUUUUUAUAUAGAAAGGAAAUGCUGAAUAUUUACUUGUCUUUGAGCUCACCUAGCCCUGCAGUGUGUGGGUCAGUAAAGGCUCUGUAUGCAAAUCUGUCCUGUCAUGGGCUCCUGUAUUUAUUUCCUUUCCUUUCCCAGGGCGCUCCUUCUCACAUUUUUUUUCCUUCUCUUUUUUUUCUGGUUACAGUGUCAGUGAGGAGGGACGAGGUUGUAUUUUAAGGGAAUCCUGUAUUUCAGGGGGAAUUUGUUUUGGUUUUGUGCGUGUGUUUGUGACUGGAGCAAGGCGGGGGGGGCGGGUGUUUUUUACUUAAUUGCCCAAUAUACUUUGGCAAGCAGAAGUUGCAUUGUUUUGUGGACUGCAUUAAUGGAUUUCUGCAUGUUCAAAUUCCCCAGUUAUUUGGGGGAUUUAAUUAAACCUCUGUAGGCGGCUGGCUCAUGGAGAUGACAGGUAGAAGUUUCUAUUUCUAGAGAUAGCUGGUGUACACACUGCGGGUGUGGAGCUCGUGGCUGUUGCGAAGCUUUUGCAUUGAGGUGGAGCUUUUGGGGCAGUUCUCAUAUUUGGGGCUACCAGUACAGUGGGACACCCCCAUUCCUGGCCGUGGUGGGAUGCUGCUCCAGGGUUGGGAGCGCUCCCAGGUGCUGCCUCCCUGUGACAGCGAGGGGCUGAGCACCCAAUAGUGCCACCACAGAAGCCCCAACACCCAGACAACCUCUGUGCAUCUUACCUGCUUGUCCUAGGCCUGGUUUACCACCUAAACCAGCACAAAUAAGAUGUUUCCUUUGCUUCUUGUCUGCCAGGACCAAUAGGUAGUUCUUGCUGCUGCUGUUUUAACCCUUCAGGGAGGGGAGGUGGGCUUGCUGCCAACCAUGGUUGUGCCCAGUGCUUUUCCACCCACCCCAGAGCUGCUGCUGGGUUUGUGUGGCUCAUCCCUCUUUGAUACAGAGGGUUAUGAUUCCGGGUUAGCAGUGUGCCUUGGGUACCACUGCCUGGAGUCACCCAUCGGUGCCAGUGGUGCCGGUAGCCCUGGCUGCAGGAAUGGGGAGAACAGGGAGAAGAGGGAUGCAAUCACUCUUUAAGUUCUGCUUCAUUGUCUGCCCUGUCUGGAGCUGAAAACUCGAUAAUUUUUAAUUUUUCCCCUGAUUUUAGAAAUAUUUGUGCCCAUCUGAGCCUUUGUGGUCUGUGUGUCCCUGGGGAGGGGCCCUGCCCCACAGCCCCAGUCCCCCCUCCUGCAGCGUGGCGGUGCCUCUGCCAGCGCCUCGUAAACCCUUCUGUGUGUUGCUUUGUAGUUCCCACUGAAGCAGCAAUUGCCUGAUUGUGUCCAUGGAGUCGGUGCAGGAGGAGCUGACGUGCUUGUGUUCAGAGGUGAGUUGGGAAGGUAAGCUCGUGUGUCCCACCUGCUCCGAAAUACCUGCGGCAUCUGCAUCCCUCUGGGUAAGCACAGCGUCCUCUGAAAUCCAUAUCCCUUUUUGAGUACUGCAGGUGAUGCCUUGGAGAGGUCGAGAUAAGCUCAAAUCAUCCUGUUCAGCUGCCCAUUUCUGAUUGAAAGUUGAGAUUCCAUAGCACAAACUGAGUUUGAAGCGCGAGAUGAGAUGAUCCAAACACAGAACUUUCUAUUGCUUAAGAUAAUGAUUCUGUCAUGUCAUAAACACGCAUAUUUUCUCAGAUACGUAUUUCACUGCCUAUCCCAAAUUUCCACUUGCCCAAUACUCAGUGUGAAUGAUUUUUCCCUCUGUGCUAGAGGCUGGCAGAGGUGUACUCAGCCCUUGCUUUGGAAAGUCAUUGCUGAAGACAGCUGUUGCCCUCUUUGUUGAACUAGGCAAAAGUUUGGUUUAUAUAUAUAAAAACAUUAAUUAAAACAUGAACCUCAAACACCAUCAAAAUGGAUUCUAGAGCUAA
This is a long non-coding RNA of Chiroxiphia lanceolata (lance-tailed manakin), 3269 nucleotides long. RefSeq lists it as uncharacterized. The transcript is spliced from 3 exons. Lineage: Eukaryota; Metazoa; Chordata; Aves; Passeriformes; Pipridae. The record is from RefSeq and is a predicted model, not a curated record.